This 67-nucleotide transfer RNA is filed under the name Orycteropus afer (aardvark). RNAcentral describes it as "transfer RNA-Trp". Lineage: Eukaryota; Metazoa; Chordata; Mammalia; Tubulidentata; Orycteropodidae. The record is from RNAcentral.
AGGGAUUUAGGUUACGCUAGACCAAGAGCCUUCAAAGCUCUAAGCAAGUACAAGUACUUAAUCCCUG